AUAUUUACCUGCAGGGGAUGAUCAUGAAGGUGGUUUUUCCAGGACGAGGCUUAUCCAUUGCACUUUGGAUGUGCUGACCCCUGCCAUUUUGCUGACUGUGGGAAACUCAACUGCAUACUUUCACUGGAGACAUUAAAAUUCUUCC
This 145-nucleotide small nuclear RNA is filed under the name Propithecus coquereli (Coquerel's sifaka). Its description in RNAcentral is "U1 spliceosomal RNA (ENSPCOG00000013272.1)". It matches the Rfam family "U1 spliceosomal RNA". Rfam says of the family: U1 is a small nuclear RNA (snRNA) component of the spliceosome (involved in pre-mRNA splicing). Its 5' end forms complementary base pairs with the 5' splice junction, thus defining the 5' donor site of an intron. There are significant differences in sequence and secondary structure between metazoan and yeast U1 snRNAs, the latter being much longer (568 nucleotides as compared to 164 nucleotides in human). Lineage: Eukaryota; Metazoa; Chordata; Mammalia; Primates; Indriidae. The record is from RNAcentral.